Molecule: long non-coding RNA, 454 nt
Filed under: Phasianus colchicus (ring-necked pheasant)
Lineage: Eukaryota; Metazoa; Chordata; Aves; Galliformes; Phasianidae
Description: lncRNA (ENSPCLG00000003295.1)
Source: RNAcentral
GCCAGCUGGGUUAACCUUGGUGGCAGGUCUGAGCCUGGGCUCUACUCUCAUUAACCUUCCUGCAGACAGGAUGCAGGCUGUACCACAAGUGGUACGUGCUUUCUCAGAGCUCUCCCCACGCAUCCAGAAGAGUUAAUCAAAGUACACCACCAAGAAUAAGUAAUUUCAAGAAUUAUCGUCAAUGAACUUGUUUGAACCCAGCCCAGCUGCUGCAUGUAGCUUCAAACAGAUGCUACACUCUCCCUCCCUCCCUUGUCCAUCACAACUUUCCAGAAAAUGGGAGAGUAACUGUUACAGCUACAGAGAAAAUGGGAGAGUAACUGUUACAGCUACAGAAAAAUCUGCAGAAAAGUUGCCACCAAAGCUACGUGGACCAGCUGCCAGCCAAGUUCUGUCUCCUGCACUAACAAGUUUCUGCACUAAGAGAGACACUUUUUUCACAUCUGGAGAAUAA